UCCGAAGGGUGCAAGCGUUAUUCGGAAUCACUGGGCGUAAAGGGUGUGUAGACGGUACAUUAAGUUCGUCGUUAAAGGCUCCGGCCUAACCGGAGUAUUGCGAUGAAAACUGGUGAGCUAGAGGGUGAGAGAGAGAAGUGGAAUUCCCGGAGUAGCGGUAAAAUGCGUGGAUCUCGGGAGGAACACCAAUGGCGAAGGCAGCUUCUUGGCGCAUUCCUGACGUUGAGGCACGAAAGCGUGGGGAGCAAACAGG
This 253-nucleotide ribosomal RNA is filed under the name uncultured bacterium. RNAcentral describes it as "partial 16S ribosomal RNA". It matches the Rfam family "Bacterial small subunit ribosomal RNA", at positions 524 to 776 of the family's 1533-position model. The record is from RNAcentral.